This 253-nucleotide ribosomal RNA is filed under the name uncultured bacterium. RNAcentral describes it as "partial 16S ribosomal RNA". It matches the Rfam family "Bacterial small subunit ribosomal RNA", at positions 524 to 776 of the family's 1533-position model. The record is from RNAcentral.
UACGGAGGGUGCAAGCGUUAUCCGGAUUCACUGGGUUUAAAGGGUGCGUAGGUGGAGUGGUAAGUCAGUGGUGAAAUCUCCAAGCUUAACUUGGAAACUGCCGUUGAUACUAUCAUUCUUGAACAUCGUGGAGGUAAGCGGAAUAUGUCAUGUAGCGGUGAAAUGCUUAGAUAUGACAUAGAACACCGAUUGCGAAGGCAGCUUGCUACACGAUCAUUGACACUGAGGCACGAAAGCGUGGGGAUCAAACAGG